Molecule: long non-coding RNA, 214 nt
Organism: Stegastes partitus (bicolor damselfish)
Lineage: Eukaryota; Metazoa; Chordata; Actinopteri; Pomacentridae
Exons: 3
Source: RefSeq, a predicted model, not a curated record
UGCUUCAGCUGCUGGAGACAUCGACCAGGUUUGUGCCUCAGGAUGACCUCCAGUGUGUUCUCCGUCUUCUUCCUCCUCGCCUCUCUGGUUUUCUGCGUCUCGGCGGUCGAUCCUGCCGGCGUUAAAAUCAGAAUCACCAACCAUGCGCUGGACAUGUUGAACCUCCAGGCUCAGGCUAUUAUCCAGGAGCAGCUGCUCAACAGACCCUUUGAAA